AUAGCAUGCAUGUUUAGUUUAGCACAUUAGUGUGAGACUGCGAAUGGCUCAUUAAAUCAGUUAUAAUUUACUUGAUAGUCAACCUUAUCAUUGGAUAACCGUGGUAAUUCUAGAGCUAAUACAUGCAACAAGCCUGACGCGAGGAGGGCUGUAUUUAUUGGAUACGAAACUGAUGGCGUGAUGCCUUUGGUGAUUCACAAUAACUAUACGGAUCGUAUGGCCUUGAGCUGACGACGUUUCAUUCAAAUUUCUGCCCUAUCAACUUUCGAUGGUACGGUAGAGGCCUACCAUGGUGAUAACGGGUAACGGGGAAUUGGGUUCUAUUCCGGAGAGGGAGCC
RNAcentral lists this ribosomal RNA (339 nucleotides) under uncultured eukaryote. RNAcentral describes it as "bacterial SSU rRNA". It matches the Rfam family "Eukaryotic small subunit ribosomal RNA", at positions 50 to 396 of the family's 1831-position model. The record is from RNAcentral.